AUGUGGUCUACCCGAAGGCACAAGGAAACCUGUCAGUCGAACAAGGAGAACCGUUCCAAAGUUAAGUUCCAUCAGAAAACUGGUUCUCGCCCCUACAUUUCCCAUGUGCAUGCUUUGAAAGAGGCUCGUAAGGGUGAAGAGUUGACUGCGUUUGAUCUAUUCAAGGAGUGCCACAAUGGCAAGAAGACUGGAUUCUCUGAGCCAGUUAAGAAGGCGAUAGCUGACAUGGAAAAAGCUAUGGAACAAGGGGUACCAGAAGGUGGAGAACCAAAGAAUGUUGCUGUUGUUGUUGCUGACAUUCUCACUAAAGAAUGUCCCUCCAGCACAUUCCUUCAAAAUGUUGGCCUUGAGUCAAGCUCCAAGAAGAAGUUCAACAGAUCUACAGCUACUUUGGAUGCUCAUGUACAAGAACUAGAGUACAAGCUUGAGAAGGAGAGGUGA
This 441-nucleotide ribosomal RNA is filed under the name Triticum aestivum (bread wheat). RNAcentral's name for it is "partial small subunit ribosomal RNA". Lineage: Eukaryota; Viridiplantae; Streptophyta; Magnoliopsida; Poales; Poaceae. The record is from RNAcentral.